RNAcentral lists this ribosomal RNA (565 nucleotides) under uncultured organism. Its description in RNAcentral is "bacterial SSU rRNA". It matches the Rfam family "Bacterial small subunit ribosomal RNA", at positions 38 to 602 of the family's 1533-position model. The record is from RNAcentral.
AGCGGCAGGCCUAACACAUGCAAGUCGAGGGGUAAGGCUCUUUCGGGAGUACACGACCGGCGAACGGGUGAGUAUCGCGUUUGCAACCUACCUUUAACUGGAGAAUAGCCCGAAGAAAUUCGGAUUAAUGCUCCAUAAUAUCAAGAGAAUGCAUAUUCUUUUGAUUAAAGCUCCGGCGGUUAAAGAUGGGCAUGCGUGCCAUUAGCUUGUUGGUGAGGUAACGGCUCACCAAGGCAACGAUGGCUAGGGGUUCUGAGAGGAUGAUCCCCCACACUGGUACUGAGACACGGACCAGACUCAUACGGGAGGCAGCAGUGAGGAAUAUUGGUCAAUGGGCGAAAGCCUGAACCAGCCAUGCCGCGUGCAGGAUGACGGCGCUAUGCGUUGUAAACUGCUUUUCUGCUCCAAGAACCCCCCGAUCGUGAUCGGGGUUGACGGUAGAGCAGGAAUAAGCAUCGGCUAACUCCGUGCCAGCAGCCGCGGUAAUACGGAGGAUGCAAGCGUUAUCCGGAUUUAUUGGGUCUAAAGGGUGCGUAGGCAGGAUAAUAAGUCAGUGGUGAAAUCC